This 397-nucleotide ribosomal RNA is filed under the name uncultured bacterium. RNAcentral's name for it is "bacterial SSU rRNA". It matches the Rfam family "Bacterial small subunit ribosomal RNA", at positions 335 to 749 of the family's 1533-position model. The record is from RNAcentral.
ACUCCUACGGGAGGCAGCAGUGGGGAAUCUUGGACAAUGGGCGCAAGCCUGAUCCAGCCAUGCCGCGUGAGUGAUGAAGGCCCUAGGGUCGUAAAGCUCUUUCGCCAGGGAUGAUAAUGACAGUACCUGGUAAAGAAACCCCGGCUAACUCCGUGCCAGCAGCCGCGGUAAUACGGAGGGGUUAGCGUUGUUCGGAAUUACUGGGGCGUAAAGCGCGCGUAGGCGGACUGGAAAGUUGGGGGUGAAAUCCCGGGGGCUCAACCCCGGAACUGCCUCCAAAACUCCCAGUCUUGAGUUCGAGAGGAGGUGAGUGGAAUUCCGAGUGUAGAGGUAGAAAUUCGUAGAUAUCGGAGAACACCAGUGGCGAAGGCGCUCACUGGCUCGAUAUUGACGCUGA